Molecule: ribosomal RNA, 465 nt
Filed under: uncultured bacterium
Lineage: Bacteria
Description: partial 16S ribosomal RNA
Rfam family: Bacterial small subunit ribosomal RNA
Source: RNAcentral
GACGAACGCUGGCGGCGUGCUUAACACAUGCAAGUCGAACGGAAAGGCCCUGCUUGCUGGGUACUCGAGUGGCGAACGGGUGAGUAACACGUGGGUGAUCUGCCCUGCACUUCGGGAGAAGCCUGGGAAACUGGGUCUAAUACCGGAUAGGAGCCAUUUUUAUGGUGAUGGUUGGAAAGUUUUUUCGGUGUAGGAUGAGCUGGCGGCCUAUCAGCUUGUUGGUGGGGUAAUGGCCUACCAAGGCGGCGGCGGGUAGCCGGCCUGAGAGGGUGGACGGCCACAGUGAGACCGAGAUACGGCCCAGACUCCGACGGGAGGCAGAAGGGGGGAAGAUUGAACAAGGGGCGCAAGCCUGAUGCAGCGACGCCGCGGGGGGGAUAACGGCCUUCGGGUUGUAAACGCCUUUCGCUAGGGACGAAGCUUUUUGUGACGGUACCUAGAGAAGAAGCACCGGCUAACUACGUG